Molecule: ribosomal RNA, 394 nt
Filed under: uncultured Pseudomonas sp.
Lineage: Bacteria; Pseudomonadati; Pseudomonadota; Gammaproteobacteria; Pseudomonadales; Pseudomonadaceae
Description: bacterial SSU rRNA
Rfam family: Bacterial small subunit ribosomal RNA
Source: RNAcentral
GAGAACUUUCCUACGAGAUGGAUUGGUGCCUUCGGGAACUCUGACACAGGUGCUGCAUGGCUGUCGUCAGCUCGUGUCGUGAGAUGUUGGGUUAAGUCCGUAACGAGCGCAACCCUUGUCCUUAGUUACCAGCACGUUAUGGUGGGCACUCUAAGGAGACUGCCGGUGACAAACCGGAGGAAGGUGGGGGAUGACGUCAAGUCAUCAUGGCCCUUACGGCCUGGGCUACACACGUGCUACAAUGGUCGGUACAAAGGGUUGCCAAGCCGCGAGGUGGAGCUAAUCCCAUAAAACCGAUCGUAGUCCGGAUCGCAGUCUGCAACUCGACUGCGUGAAGUCGGAAUCGCUAGUAAUCGUGAAUCAGAAUGUCACGGUGAAUACGUUCCCGGGCCUU